GAGGGUAUAGCUCAGUGGUAGAGCGCAUGCUUAGCAUGCACGAGGUCCUGGGUUCAAUCCCCAGUACCUCCA
This is a transfer RNA of Camelus ferus (Wild Bactrian camel), 72 nucleotides long. It matches the Rfam family "tRNA". From Rfam's summary of the family: Transfer RNA (tRNA) molecules are approximately 80 nucleotides in length. Lineage: Eukaryota; Metazoa; Chordata; Mammalia; Artiodactyla; Camelidae. The record is from Rfam.